AGCCCACAUCACAAAUAAUCUCUCGUAAGUUUUAGAAAGAUGAAGAAUAAAAGGAUUCACCCAAGGAACAAUAUCGUGAUUUACUAAUGGUUUUUUCUUUGCUUCUCUAGACAUUCUCGUCAUCUCUUUCAGAUUUCCAAACAGAAAUUGGUACGGCUGACCAUGAAUACCUUCCUUCUUCAGCUUCUUUUCGAUCAUCUUUGGCCACCACCAUAAUGUAUAAAACGAUUUUACAAAAAAUAGGGCUAUCAAAAUGCCAAUCGUUGCACCAAUUACUGUAACAAUUGCCAUUUGAUAGAUAUUUU
This 305-nucleotide unclassified non-coding RNA is filed under the name Hevea brasiliensis (rubber tree). Lineage: Eukaryota; Viridiplantae; Streptophyta; Magnoliopsida; Malpighiales; Euphorbiaceae. The record is from RNAcentral.